UUUACAAGGGUGUGUGAGAGUCCAGUGAGAAGGAGAUGAGAAAGAACAGAGAAGAAAAGGUUUUGCUCUGUUUUUAUCCUGUGUGGGGUCCACCUUGUUAAGCGGGUUUGCCACGCGGGGUAUCUUUUGUCACGUGUGGUUUUAUUGUUCCUUAGAUUUUGUUGAUGUCAUAAUGUGGUUGACCAUACAAUUCGGAGUUUUUGUUUGAUUCUUUAGGUACUUUCUGUGGCUCGCAAGA
Arabidopsis thaliana (thale cress) is the source of this 238-nucleotide long non-coding RNA. RefSeq annotates it as other RNA. The record is from RefSeq. The transcript has a single exon. NCBI's taxonomy places the organism in Eukaryota, Viridiplantae, Streptophyta, Magnoliopsida, Brassicales, Brassicaceae.